UUCGCCCUUAGAGUUUGAUUCUGGCUCAGGACGAACGCUGGCGGCGCGCCUAACACAUGCAAGUCGAACGAGAGAUGAGGAGCUUGCUCUUCAAAUCGAGUGGCGAACGGGUGAGUAACGCGUGAGGAACCUGCCUCAAAGAGGGGGACAACAGUUGGAAACGACUGCUAAUACCGCAUAAGCCCACGGCUCGGCAUCGAGCAGAGGGAAAAGGAGCAAUCCGCUUUGAGAUGGCCUCGCGUCCGAUUAGCUAGUUGGUGAGGUAACGGCCCACCAAGGCGACGAUCGGUAGCCGGACUGAGAGGUUGAACGGCCACAUUAGGACUGAGACACGGCCCAGACUCCUACGGGAGGCAGCAGUGGGGAAUAUUGCACAAUGGGGGAAACCCUGAUGCAGCGACGCCGCGUGGAGGAAGAAGGUCUUCGGAUUGUAAACUCCUGUUGUUGAGGAAGAUAAUGACGGUACUCAACAAGGAAGUGACGGCUAACUACGUGCCAGCAGCCGCGGUAAAACGUAGGUCACAAGCGUUGUCCGGAAUUACUGGGUGUAAAGGGAGCGCAGGCGGGAGAACAAGUUGGAAGUGAAAUCCAUGGGCUCAACCCAUGAACUGCUUUCAAAACUGUUUUUCUUGAGUAGUGCAGAGGUAGGCGGAAUUCCCGGUGUAGCGGUGGAAUGCGUAGAUAUCGGGAGGAACACCAGUGGCGAAGGCGGCCUACUGGGCACCAACUGACGCUGAGGCUCGAAAGUGUGGGUAGCAAACAGGAUUAGAUACCCUGGUAGUCCACACCGUAAACGAUGAUUACUAGGUGUUGGAGGAUUGACCCCUUCAGUGCCGCAGUUAACACAAUAAGUAAUCCACCUGGGGAGUACGACCGCAAGGUUGAAACUCAAAGGAAUUGACGGGGGCCCGCACAAGCAGUGGAGUAUGUGGUUUAAUUCGACGCAACGCGAAGAACCUUACCAAGUCUUGACAUCCCUUGACGAUGCUGGAAACAGUAUUUCUCUUCGGAGCAAGGAGACAGGUGGUGCAUGGUUGUCGUCAGCUCGUGUCGUGAGAUGUUGGGUUAAGUCCCGCAACGAGCGCAACCCUUAUGGUCAGUUACUACGCAAGAGGACUCUGGCCAGACUGCCGUUGACAAAACGGAGGAAGGUGGGGAUGACGUCAAAUCAUCAUGCCCUUUAUGACUUGGGCUACACACGUACUACAAUGGCGUUAAACAAAGAGAAGCACGACCGCGAGGUGGAGCAAAACUCAGAAACAACGUCCCAGUUCGGACUGCAGGCUGCAACUCGCCUGCACGAAGUCGGAAUUGCUAGUAAUCGUGGAUCAGCAUGCCACGGU
Molecule: ribosomal RNA, 1343 nt
Filed under: uncultured bacterium
Lineage: Bacteria
Description: 16S ribosomal RNA
Rfam family: Bacterial small subunit ribosomal RNA
Source: RNAcentral